RNAcentral lists this ribosomal RNA (301 nucleotides) under uncultured bacterium. RNAcentral describes it as "partial 16S ribosomal RNA". It matches the Rfam family "Bacterial small subunit ribosomal RNA", at positions 509 to 807 of the family's 1533-position model. The record is from RNAcentral.
CAGUCGCCGCGGUAAUACAGAGGGUGCAAGCGUUAAUCGGAAUUACUGGGCGUAAAGUGCGCGUAGGUGGUUUGUUAAGUUGGAUGUGAAAUCCCCGGGCUCAACCUGGGAACUGCAUCCAAAACUGGCAAGCUAGAGUAUGGUAGAGGGUGGUGGAAUUUCCUGUGUAGCGGUGAAAUGCGUAGAUAUAGGAAGGAACACCAGUGGCGAAGGCGACCACCUGGACUGAUACUGACACUGAGGUGCGAAAGCGUGGGGAGCAAACAGGAUUAGAUACCCCAGUAGUCCCUGUCUCUUAUAC